Molecule: transfer RNA, 72 nt
Filed under: Capsicum annuum
Lineage: Eukaryota; Viridiplantae; Streptophyta; Magnoliopsida; Solanales; Solanaceae
Rfam family: tRNA
About the family: Transfer RNA (tRNA) molecules are approximately 80 nucleotides in length. Their secondary structure includes four short double-helical elements and three loops (D, anti-codon, and T loops).
Source: Rfam by way of RNAcentral
UCCUUAGUAGCUCAGUAGUAGAGUUGUCGAUUGUUAACUGAUUGGUCGUAGAUUUGAAUCCUGCUUCGAGAG